CCCACCAAGGCAUCGAUCGGUAGGGGUUCUGAGAGGAAGGUCCCCCACACUGGAACUGAGACACGGUCCAGACUCCUACGGGAGGCAGCAGUGAGGAAUAUUGGUCAAUGGCCGUAAGGCUGAACCAGCCAAGUAGCGUGAGGGAAGACUGCCCUAUGGGUUGUAAACCUCUUUUAUGCGGGGAUAAAGGUGUCCACGUGUGGAUGUUUGCAGGUACCGCAUGAAUAAGGACCGGCUAAUUCCGUGCCAGCAGCCGCGGUAAUACGGAAGGUCCGGGCGUUAUCCGGAUUUAUUGGGUUUAAAGGGAGCGUAGGCCGGUCUUUAAGCGUGCCGUGAAAUUUUGUGGCUCAACCAUGAGAGUGCGGCGCGAACUGGAGACCUUGAGUGCGCGGAAGGCAGGCGGAAUUCGUGGUGUAGCGGUGAAAUGCUUAGAUAUCACGAAGAACCCCGGUUGCGAAGGCAGCCUGCCGCAGCGUUACUGACGCUGAAGCUCGAAAGCGCGGGUAUCGAACAGGAUUAGAUACCCUGGUAGUCCGCGCGGUAAACGAUGGAUGCCCGCUGUCGGCGAUAUACAGUCG
Molecule: ribosomal RNA, 578 nt
Filed under: uncultured bacterium
Lineage: Bacteria
Description: bacterial SSU rRNA
Rfam family: Bacterial small subunit ribosomal RNA
Source: RNAcentral